UACGUAGGGUGCAAGCGUUGUCCGGAAUUAUUGGGCGUAAAGAGCUCGUAGGCGGUUUGUCGCGUCGAAUGUGAAAACCCGGGGCUCAACCCCGGGCCUGCAUUCGAUACGGGCAGACUAGAGUUCGGUAGGGGAGUCUGGAAUUCCUGGUGUAGCGGUGAAAUGCGCAGAUAUCGAGAGGAACACCUGCGGCGAAGGCGGGUAGCUGGGCCGACACUGACGCUGAGGCGCGAAAGCCAGGGGAGCGAACGGG
RNAcentral lists this ribosomal RNA (253 nucleotides) under uncultured bacterium. Its description in RNAcentral is "partial 16S ribosomal RNA". It matches the Rfam family "Bacterial small subunit ribosomal RNA", at positions 524 to 776 of the family's 1533-position model. The record is from RNAcentral.